RNAcentral lists this ribosomal RNA (670 nucleotides) under uncultured Bacteroidales bacterium. Its description in RNAcentral is "bacterial SSU rRNA". It matches the Rfam family "Bacterial small subunit ribosomal RNA", at positions 66 to 725 of the family's 1533-position model. Lineage: Bacteria; Pseudomonadati; Bacteroidota; Bacteroidia; Bacteroidales. The record is from RNAcentral.
GGGGCAUCAGUUUGGUUUGCUUGCAAACCAAAGCUGGCGACCGGCGCACGGGUGAGUAACACGUAUCCAACCUGCCUCAUACUCGGGGAUAGCCUUUCGAAAGAAAGAUUAAUAUCCGAUAGCAUAUAUUUCCCGCAUGGGUUUUAUAUUAAAGAAAUUCGGUAUGAGAUGGGGAUGCGUUCCAUUAGUUUGUUGGGGGGGUAACGGCCCACCAAGACUACGAUGGAUAGGGGUUCUGAGAGGAAGGUCCCCCACAUUGGAACUGAGACACGGUCCAAACUCCUACGGGAGGCAGCAGUGAGGAAUAUUGGUCAAUGGACGCGAGUCUGAACCAGCCAAGUAGCGUGAAGGAUGACUGCCCUAUGGGUUGUAAACUUCUUUUAUAUGGGAAUAAAGUUGUCCACGUGUGGAUUUUUGUAUGUACCAUAUGAAUAAGGAUCGGCUAACUCCGUGCCAGCAGCCGCGGUAAUACGGAGGAUCCGAGCGUUAUCCGGAUUUAUUGGGUUUAAAGGGAGCGUAGGCGGAUUGUUAAGUCAGUUGUGAAAGUUUGCGGCUCAACCGUAAAAUUGCAGUUGAUACUGGAUGUCUUGAGUGCAGUUGAGGCAGGCGGAAUUCGUGGUGUAGCGGUGAAAUGCUUAGAUAUCACGAAGACUCCGAUUGCGAAGGCAGC